RNAcentral lists this long non-coding RNA (556 nucleotides) under Homo sapiens (human). RNAcentral's name for it is "HSALNT0218135". Lineage: Eukaryota; Metazoa; Chordata; Mammalia; Primates; Hominidae. The record is from RNAcentral.
CAGGGAACUGCAGCCCGAGGUGUGAGCGGGAGGUACUCCCGGCGCUGGGUACGCUCCGGGCACCUCCACCCCCAGUCUCCACCGAGCGGGCUCUCGGCCUCGCGCCUCUGGCCAGGCCAGGGGCUGCCCAAGGCCAGGCUCUACCUCUCCCUUGCGUUCUUUGUCCCCACUCAGCCCGCUCCCGCUCUCAGCCAGAAGCUGCGCUGGGCACUCGGGAGAAAGCCGGGACAAUUCUGGGGUCCAGUCUUCCCGGACUCCCUCCUCCACGCCAGCGACCGGGUGGCAGCUAUAGGGAACCAGGCUUCGGAAGUCUUGCCAACCAGACAAAACAGACCCGAGGAAGCCCCCCUCCUCCCGCUUUCCGCGAGCCCCGGUUUGCUUUCCGCACCGUUUGCUGGGCGCCAGCAGCCAGACUCUCGGCUGGGAUCUGAAGUGCUGGAGGCACCCUGUCGGGGAGGAGAGAUGCCGCCAAUGUGUGUGAUGGGAUUCCCAGUGGUUACCCUAAUGCACCUGGAGGACCUGCAAGCGCAGUCCACUCACUCAGCUUACAAUGUAG